CCUACGGGUGGCUGCAGUGGGGAAUAUUGCACAAUGGGGGAAACCCUGAUGCAGCGACGCCGCGUGAGCGAUGACGUAUUUCGGUAUGUAAAGCUCUAUCAGCAGGGAAGACAAUGACGUUACCUGACUAAGACGCCCCGGCUCACUACGUGCCAGCAGCCGCGGUAGAACGUAGGGUGCAAGCGUUGUACGGAGUUACUGGGUGUAUAGGGAGCGUAGACGGCUUGGCAAGCCAGAUGUGAAAGGCUGGGGCUCAACCCCAGGACUGCAGUUGGAACUGUCAUGCUGGCGUGUCGGAGAGGCAGGCGGAAUUCCUAGGGUAGCGGUGGAAUGAGGAGAUAUUAGGAAGAACACCGGUGGCGAAGGCAGCCCGCUGGACGAUGACUGACGUUGAGGCUCGAAAGCAUGGGGAGCAAACAGGAUUAGAUACCCUGGUAGUC
This 440-nucleotide ribosomal RNA is filed under the name uncultured bacterium. Its description in RNAcentral is "partial 16S ribosomal RNA". It matches the Rfam family "Bacterial small subunit ribosomal RNA", at positions 338 to 795 of the family's 1533-position model. The record is from RNAcentral.